GUCUGGUUGGGUAAGAAUUCUACCAAUAAAUUAUAAAUUUUGGAAUUAUGGUGAAGUUAUCUCAAAACAGAAACAGCAAGAAUAUGAGAGUACAAUGUUAAUGCAGAAUACAGCCAGAUGAAUAAAGGUCUGUGAUGAGUAGUCAUGCAAAUAUGGAAGUGGUUGCUCCAAAUUAAUCAAAGUGGAGGGCAAACUUUUUGUGAGUUAUGUUAGAAAGAUAU
Molecule: long non-coding RNA, 221 nt
Filed under: Mytilus galloprovincialis (Mediterranean mussel)
Lineage: Eukaryota; Metazoa; Mollusca; Bivalvia; Mytilida; Mytilidae
Source: RNAcentral